RNAcentral lists this transfer RNA (90 nucleotides) under Nitrospinota bacterium. RNAcentral describes it as "tRNA-Ser". It matches the Rfam family "tRNA". Rfam says of the family: Transfer RNA (tRNA) molecules are approximately 80 nucleotides in length. Their secondary structure includes four short double-helical elements and three loops (D, anti-codon, and T loops). Further hydrogen bonds mediate the characteristic L-shaped molecular structure. tRNAs have two regions of fundamental functional importance: the anti-codon, which is responsible for specific mRNA codon recognition, and the 3' end, to which the tRNAs corresponding amino acid is attached (by aminoacyl-tRNA synthetases). tRNAs cope with the degeneracy of the genetic code in two manners: having more than one tRNA (with a specific anti-codon) for a particular amino acid; and 'wobble' base-pairing, i.e. permitting non-standard base-pairing at the 3rd anti-codon position. The record is from RNAcentral. Lineage: Bacteria; Pseudomonadati; Nitrospinota.
GGAGAGAUGGCCGAGUUGGCUGAAGGUGCACGCCUGGAAAGCGUGUGUAGGUGACCCCUACCGGGGGUUCGAAUCCCCCUCUCUCCGCCA